RNAcentral lists this small RNA (83 nucleotides) under Marmota monax (woodchuck). Lineage: Eukaryota; Metazoa; Chordata; Mammalia; Rodentia; Sciuridae. The record is from RNAcentral.
GCUGGGCAUAGUGGCGCAUGCCUGUAAUCCCAGUGGCUUAGGAGACUGAGGUAGGAGGACUGUCAGUUCAAAGCCAACCUCAG